This 110-nucleotide non-coding RNA is filed under the name Betaproteobacteria bacterium. Its description in RNAcentral is "Glycine sequence". It matches the Rfam family "Glycine riboswitch aptamer". Rfam says of the family: This family represents the bacterial glycine riboswitch. Glycine riboswitches usually consist of two metabolite-binding aptamers domains with similar structures in tandem. The aptamers cooperatively bind glycine to regulate the expression of downstream genes. The record is from RNAcentral. Lineage: Bacteria; Pseudomonadati; Pseudomonadota; Betaproteobacteria.
GAAUUCUGUUCAAGAGAGCGUGGCGUAUUGACUGGCUGUAAGGUCCGAUACAUCACCGCCGAAGGCGCAAUCUCCUAUGAUCGCUCAGGCCCGCGUAUUGAUCAGAUAAU